CCUACGGGUGGCAGCAGUGAGGAAUAUUGGUCAAUGGACGAGAGUCUGAACCAGCCAAGUAGCGUGAAGGAUGACUGCCCUAUGGGUUGUAAACUUCUUUUAUAUGGGAAUAAAAUGUUCCACGUGUGGGAUUUUGUAUGUACCAUAUGAAUAAGGAUCGGCUAACUCCGUGCCAGCAGCCGCGGUAAUACGGAGGAUCCGAGCGUUAUCCGGAUUUAUUGGGUUUAAAGGGAGCGUAGGUGGAUUGUUAAGUCAGUUGUGAAAGUUUGCGGCUCAACCGUAAAAUUGCAAUUGAAACUGGCAGUCUUGAGUACAGUAGAGGUGGGCGGAAUUCGUGGUGUAGCGGUGAAAUGCUUAGAUAUCACGAAGAACUCCGAUUGCGAAGGCAGUUCACUGGACUGCAACUGACACUGAGGCUCGAAAGUGUGGGUAUCAAACAGGAUUAGAUACCCUAGUAGUC
Molecule: ribosomal RNA, 460 nt
Filed under: uncultured bacterium
Lineage: Bacteria
Description: partial 16S ribosomal RNA
Rfam family: Bacterial small subunit ribosomal RNA
Source: RNAcentral